This 253-nucleotide ribosomal RNA is filed under the name uncultured bacterium. Its description in RNAcentral is "partial 16S ribosomal RNA". It matches the Rfam family "Bacterial small subunit ribosomal RNA", at positions 524 to 776 of the family's 1533-position model. The record is from RNAcentral.
UACGUAGGGUGCAAGCGUUGUCCGGAAUUAUUGGGCGUAAAGAGCUCGUAGGCGGUUUGUCGCGCCUGCUGUGAAAACGCGGGGCUCAACUCCGCGCCUGCAGUGGGUACGGGCAGACUAGAGUGCAGUAGGGGAGACUGGAAUUCCUGGUGUAGCGGUGGAAUGCGCAGAUAUCAGGAGGAACACCGGUGGCGAAGGCGGGUCUCUGGGCAUUAACUGACGCUGAGGAGCGAAAGCAUGGGGAGCGAACAGG